AGCACAAGUGAUGAACAACAAAGGGACUUAAUACUGAAACCCGAUGUUAUAUUGCAAUGUGCUGAUGUGC
RNAcentral lists this small nucleolar RNA (70 nucleotides) under Balaenoptera musculus (blue whale). RNAcentral's name for it is "Small nucleolar RNA SNORD82 (ENSBMSG00010000737.1)". It matches the Rfam family "Small nucleolar RNA SNORD82". Rfam says of the family: snoRNA U82 or Z25 is found in both humans and mice. Lineage: Eukaryota; Metazoa; Chordata; Mammalia; Artiodactyla; Balaenopteridae. The record is from Rfam by way of RNAcentral.